UUAUAAAAGGGAUAAGGCUUAAAUAUGUAGAUCGAACUUUGAGAAAAGACUCAUCUAUGUCAUCUGGUAAAGUUUGGUGUGUAAUGGUUUGAAUGAGCCUUUUCUCGAACGAAAAUGGUGUAGAUGAGUUAAAUUUUUAACGGAUUACAUAAUUGAGCCUUUUCUCAUAGUUCGAUGACAUAUUUGAGCCUUUUUCCAAUUAUAA
Molecule: non-coding RNA, 205 nt
Organism: Solanum lycopersicum (tomato)
Lineage: Eukaryota; Viridiplantae; Streptophyta; Magnoliopsida; Solanales; Solanaceae
Source: RefSeq, marked provisional